RNAcentral lists this long non-coding RNA (205 nucleotides) under Capsicum annuum. Its description in RNAcentral is "long non-coding RNA (CANN_LNC013833)". Lineage: Eukaryota; Viridiplantae; Streptophyta; Magnoliopsida; Solanales; Solanaceae. The record is from RNAcentral.
CUUUACUAUGUGUUUGUGUGGUACCGCGUGUCUUGAGCCGGGGGUCUAUCGGAAAUAGCCUUUCUACUUCUUCAGAGGUAGAGGUAUGGACUGCGUACAUCCUACCCCCCCCAGACCCCACCAGGUGGGAAUACACUGGGUUUGUUGUUGUUGUUGUUGUUGUUAUGUUAAGUAAAUUGUUAUUAGCAGUGAAAUUGGUCUAGUU